RNAcentral lists this ribosomal RNA (2907 nucleotides) under Pseudochloris wilhelmii. RNAcentral describes it as "LSU rRNA". It matches the Rfam family "Bacterial large subunit ribosomal RNA". The record is from RNAcentral. Lineage: Eukaryota; Viridiplantae; Chlorophyta; Trebouxiophyceae; Chlorellales; Chlorellaceae.
GUCAAAUGACUCAAGGCGUAGGGUGGAUACCUAGGCACCUAGAGACGAUGAAGGGCGUGGUACCAACGAAAUGCUUCGGGGAGUUGGAAACGAACUAUGAUCCGGAGAUUCCCGAAUAGGGCAACCUUACACACUACUUGCUGAAUUCAUAGGCAAGUUGGAGACAACUCGGUGAACUGAAACAUCUUAGUAGCCGAAGGAAAAGAAAGCAAACGCGAUUCCCUGAGUAGUGGCGAGCGAAAAGGGACCAGCCUAAACCAGACUUCUUGUCUGGGGUCGUGGGAAAAUGUCACAAGUUUUUAGCACAUGAUAGACGAAGCAGCUGAAUCCUGCACCCAAGAUGGUGAAAGUCCAGUAGUCGAAAUCGUGUCUGAAAACGACGUUUAUCCCGAGUAGCAUGGGACACGUGAAAUCCCGUGUGAAUCUGCGAGGACCACCUCGUAAGGCUACAUACUCCUAGGUGACCGAUAGUGAACCAGUACCGUGAGGGAACGGUGAAAAGAACCCCUGUCGGGGAGUGAAAUAGAACAUGAAACCCUAUGCUGACAAACAGUGGGAGGCGUUCGCGCUGACCGCGUUCCUGUUGAAGAAUGAGCCGGCGACUUAGACCAAAUGGCAAGGUUAAGGAAUAUAUCCGGAGCCAGAGCGAAAGCAAGUCUGAAAAGGGCGUAUGAAAGUCAUUUGGUCUAGACCCGAACCCGGGUGAUCUAACCAUGACCAGGAUGAAGCUUGGGUAACACCACGUGAAGGUCCGAACCGACCGAUGUUGAAAAAUCGGCGGAUGAGUUGUGGUUAGGGGUGAAAUACCAGUCGAACUCGGAGCUAGCUGGUUCUCCCCGAAAUGCGUUGAGGCGCAGCGGUGUGUGACACUCUCUAGGGGUAAAGCACUGUUUCGGUGCGGGCGGCGAAAGCUGUACCAAAUCGUGGCAAACUCUGAAUACUAGAGAUGCAUGGACACGCCAGUGAGACAGUGGGGGAUAAGCUUCAUUGUCAAAAGGGAAACAGCCCAGAUCACCAGCUAAGGCCCCAAAAUGGUCGUUAAGUGGCAAAGGAGGUGAGAAUGCAGAAACAACCAGGAGGUUUGCUUAGAAGCAGCCACCCUUUAAAGAGUGCGUAAUAGCUCACUGGUGGAGCGUUCUCGCGCCGAAAAUGUCCGGGACUAAAUGACCUGCCGAAGCUGUGGGAUUUCAUUGCCAUUGACCCUUGACCAAAUAGUGUUCCAAAAUAGAUUUUGGAAACGGUCAAAUGGUCAACGAGAUGCAAGAGAUCGGUAGGGGAGCGUUCUGCUUGAGGGUGAAGCAGGGCCGUGAGGCACCUGUGGACCGAGCAGAAGUGAGAAUGUCGGCUUGAGUAACGAAAGCAUUGGUGAGAAUCCAAUGCCCCGAAAACCUAAGGAUUCCUCCACAAGGUUCGUCCAUGGAGGGUGAGUCAGGACCUAAGGCGAGGCCGAAAGGCGUAGUCGAUGGACAACAGGUUAAUAUUCCUGUACUCACAUGUAUGUGGUAUCGAAGGACGGAGGCGGUUAUAAGGAGCCGAUACUGGGUGUCGGCGGAAACGUUCAAGGUGUUGAGAGGUCGAAGAAAAACGAACCUUGAGCUAAGGCGUGAUACGUGAAUGUCACUUGUGAUAUUUCAUUCUUGAUUGAUCAUACUCCCAAGAAAAGCUCGUACUACCGAUACAUAUAUGUGACCUGUACCGUAAACCGACACAGGUAGGUUGGUAGAGUAUACCAAGGGGCGCGAGAUAACUCUCUCUAAGGAACUCGGCAAAAUGACCCCGUAACUUCGGGAGAAGGGGUGCCUUCAGUUUUCUGAAGGCCGCAGUGACCAGGCCCAGGCGACUGUUUAUCAAAAACAUAGGUCUCCGCAACGUCGUAAGACAACAUAUGGGGGCUGACGCCUGCCCAGUGCCGGAAGGUUAAGGACGUUGGUGCAAGCUGACAACCGAAGCCCCGGUGAACGGCGGCCGUAACUAUAACGGUCCUAAGGUAGCGAAAUUCCUUGUCGGGUAAGUUCCGACCCGCACGAAAGGCGUAACGAUCUGGGCGCUGUCUCGGAGAGAGACUCGGUGAAAUAGACAUGUCUGUGAAGAUGCGGACUUCCUACACCUGGACAGAAAGACCCUAUGAAGCUUGACUGUAGCUUGGCAUUGGGUUCGGGCUCUUCUUGCGCAGCCUAGGUGGGAGGCAAUGAAUAUGUACUUUUGGGUACAUAGGAGCCGUACGUGAGAGACCACUCUGGAAGAGCUAGAAUUCUAAGAACGUUCCUUGAAGCAGGACGUUUGACAGUGUCAGGUGGGCAGUUUGACUGGGGCGGUCACCUCCUAAAAGGUAACGGAGGUGUGCAAAGGUUCCCUCAGGCUGGACGGAAAUCAGCCGGAGAGUGUAAAGGCAGAAGGGAGCUUGACUGCAAGACUGACACGUCGAGCAGGGGCGAAAGCCGGCCUUAGUGAUCCGACGGUGCCGCGUGGAAGGGCCGUCGCUCAACGGAUAAAAGUUACUCUAGGGAUAACAGGCUGAUCUUCCCCAAGAGUUCACAUCGACGGGAAGGUUUGGCACCUCGAUGUCGGCUCAUCGCAACCUGGGGCGGUAGUACGUCCCAAGGGUUGGGCUGUUCGCCCAUGAAAGCGGUACGUGAGCUGGGUUCAGAACGUCGUGAGACAGUUCGGUCCAUAUCCGGUGUAGGCGUUAGAGCAUUGAGAGGAGUCUUCCAUAGUACGAGAGGACCUGGAAGAACGCACCUCUGGUGUACCAGUUCUCCUGCCAAGGGGAUACGCUGGGUAGCCAUGUGUGGAGUGGAUAACCGCUGAAAGCAUCUAAGUGGGAAGCCCACCUCAAGAUGAGUGCUCUCCAUGAGAUCACGGCAAGACGAGCCGGUUGAUAGGCAGCAAGUGGAAGGCCAGUAAUGG